AAGACUAUAGACCUGCGGAGUACCUGCGGAAGGAUCAUUACAUGAUUUGAGGGGGCUCACGUCCCCUCAUCCAACCCACAAACCCCGAGGAACUUUUAUGUCGAGUGGUUCGGCGCUCUCUUUGAGAGCCGCCCCUCAAACGCAUCGCAGGCUUUUCGUGAAGGUCUGAUGUGUCACAUCGUGAGUAUUAAAACUUUCAACAAUGGAUCUCU
RNAcentral lists this unclassified non-coding RNA (212 nucleotides) under soil metagenome. RNAcentral's name for it is "partial contains 5.8S ribosomal RNA, internal transcribed spacer 2, and large subunit ribosomal RNA". The record is from RNAcentral.